GACGAACGCUGGCGGCGUGCUUAACACAUGCAAGUCGAACGGAAAGACCCUGCUUUUGUGGGGUGCUCGAGUGGCGAACGGGUGAGUAACACGUGAGUAACCUGCCCUUGACUUUGGGAUAACUUCAGGAAACUGGGGCUAAUACCGGAUAGGAGCUCCUGCUGCAUGGUGGGGGUUGGAAAGUUUCGGCGGUUGGGGAUGGACUCGCGGCUUAUCAGCUUGUUGGUGGGGUAGUGGCUUACCAAGGCUUUGACGGGUAGCCGGCCUGAGAGGGUGACCGGCCACAUUGGGACUGUGAUACGGCCCAGACUCCUACGGGAGGCAGCAGUGGGGAAUAUUGCACAAUGGGCGGAAGCCUGAUGCAGCAACGCCGCGUGCGGGAUGACGGCCUUCGGGUUGUAAACCGCUUUCGCCUGUGACGAAGCGUGAGUGACGGUAAUGGGUAAAGAAGCACCGGCUAACUACGUG
Molecule: ribosomal RNA, 468 nt
Filed under: uncultured bacterium
Lineage: Bacteria
Description: partial 16S ribosomal RNA
Rfam family: Bacterial small subunit ribosomal RNA
Source: RNAcentral